UGGGAAUGUGCCCUAAAGUGAUGUGAUAACGCACCGAAAGGUGUGCUAAUACCGCAUAUGGUCUUCGGAUUAAAGAAUUUAUUCGCUUUAGAAGCAGCCCGCGUCGGAUUAGGUAGUUGGUGAGGUAAAGGCUCACCAAGCCCACGAUCCGUAGCUGGUCUGAGAGGAUGACCAGCCAGACUGGAACUGAGACAUGGUCCAGACUCCUACGGGAGGCAGCAGUGAGGAAUCUUCCACAAUGGGCGAAAGCCUGAUGGAGCAACGCCGCGUGCAGGAUGAAGGCCUUCGGGUUGUAAACUGCUUUUAUUUGUGAAGAAUAUGACGGUAACAAAUGAAUAAGGAUCGGCUAACUACGUGCCAGCAGCCGCGGUCAUACGUAGGAUCCAAGCGUUAUCCGGAGUGACUGGGCGUAAAGAGUUGCGUAAGUGGUUUGU
Molecule: ribosomal RNA, 434 nt
Filed under: uncultured bacterium
Lineage: Bacteria
Description: bacterial SSU rRNA
Rfam family: Bacterial small subunit ribosomal RNA
Source: RNAcentral